GGAAGGAUCAUUAACACGUGAUACACGUUUUCCAAUAUCAACCAACCUCGACGAACCUGUGUCUCAAAUCUUUUGGGUUACUUCUUGUGUGUCUUCCCCCUCGGGGGAGGGUAUCAAGACUUAUCCUUUGCUGUCAGCCCUCUCAUGGAACUUCGUGUGUCUUUGAUGGUUGAUGGACAAGGGACCUUGAGUGUGAAAGAAUGUAGGUGAUUAGUUUAACAGCUGGUCGGAGUGUGCUGUGAACAGGUGGCCGAACGCGUUGGUCUCCCCCCUCGGGGAGAAGCCAUCUUUAGUAGGGUGUCUAUUCAGCAUGCAUACGAUCCCGGUUUUCGUUCACCUAAGUGCUUUCCCUCUUUGGCCCAGGGCUUUGAGGUUUUGUUGUCUCAUCCUACCCUCUGCGGGGGGUGUGGAUUAUUUUACCCGUUUUUAGAUGUGAUGCCCAGUUUAGUGUUAGGCUAUGACAAACAGUGGUUCAACCUUUGACUUGAAUGGACCCAUUGACGAUCUUCCUUCGGGAGGGUCUCUGGGACUGAUUGAGUUGAAGGACUACUGGAUAAGGACUGAGGGAGUAUAUUGCGGUUCUUCUCGGAGAACUGUGUCAGAAACUUUAGUCUUUGUCUCUAGUCGAGACUGGUGGGAUCCACAUUACGUUUAAAAACUUGCUGUUCUAAAUUCAAUACUUCUGCUAUUGAAAGGGAUUCCCGAAAGGGUAAUUUCCUUUUAAUGCAAACUCUGAACAACUCUGAGCAACGGAUGUCUUGGUUCCCGCAACGAUGAAGAACGCAGCAAAAUGCGAUAAGUAAUGCGAAUUGCAGAAUUCAGUGAAUCAUCGACUCUUCGAACGCAACUUGCACCCCAGCCGUUCCUACGCCUCAAAACGUACACGGGGGGUACGUACUGUUCAGUGUCGACCGAUCCUCCUAAGGCCUAUGCCUUAAUCUUCGGGGUUCUGGCUCUUCAGUUGGGCGAACCCUUGGGCAUGAUCGUUGGUGCUUUACUUGGUAGGCUGCUUCACUUUACGAAAGAGGAAGUUGAGGAUGAGAAACGCCGGUUCACACUGGCCGCUUUCAACCAUGACAGACACUUUCAACGGAGUGGAAUCUCUCAGCUGGAUUAAGUAAGGCCCUUACUGUUGGCUUGCCACAGUGGGGACGACAUAUUAGCCCAGUACUUGUGAGUGUUCCUUUGAACUUUAUCUCUCCUAGCGGGAGGUAACUAGUGAGAAGGUCACUUGAAAUUAGAAAUCUCUUGUGCGACCAGAGUUGGCCACUGGAGAGACUGCCACCUGUUACCUCUUCUAGGGCAGGGUUGGAUGGCUGGGUGAAACCAGUAUCAACAUCCGCCUGUUCCUGGGCUCAAAAGAGACCAAGUGGGCUGCACACAGUUUCUCAAUUUCAACAGUAGCUAACACACCAAAUCUGACUUGUCACACAGUGAGUUCACCUGAGCACAAGGUAUCGACCCUGUCUCAACCCCUUUUGUAGCAAUGUGCGCUGCAAGAACCAUUUCAACCCUAGACCUGAACUAGUAUGAGAAUACCCGCUGAAUUUAAGCAUAUUAUUAAGCGGAGGAAAAGAAACUAACAAGGAUUCCCCUAGUAACGGCGAGUGAAGCGGGAAUAGCUCAAAGUUUAAAUCCCCCACCUUCGCGGUGUGUUGGGAGUUGUAAUCUAUGACGGGUGGCCAGCGUGUGACCCAGGUAUAACUCUUUGGAAAAAGGGAUCAUAGGGGGUGAGAAUCCCGUCUGUGACCUGGAGUUCGCCGCGUACGGUACCUGUUCUGAGAGUCGCGUUGUUUGGGAGUACAGCGCAAAAUGGGUGGUAAACUUCAUCUAAAGCUAAAUAUUGGCGGGAGACCGAUAGCGAACAAGUAGCGUGAGCGAAAGAUGAAAAGAACUUUGAAAAGAGAGUUAAAAAGUACCUGAAAUUGCUCAGAGGGAAGUUAUGGAAACCAGUCUAUCCUUGGGCGAUAUUUACCGCUGAUUGGAUCGUAGAGGCGUAAGUACGGAGUGGCCAAGAGCUACCCGGAUUUUGUCUCGCUGCUUUUCAGUCAGUGGGUCCUGUCGUCUAGGGCGUGUCAGAAUCAGUUUGGUUGGCCGGAGAAAGCUCGAGGGAAGGUGAGAAGCUAUGGGGUUCGCUUCAUAGUUUCUGUUAUAGCUCUCGGGAAAGAUACGGUCGACUAGACUGAGGUAAAUAUUCGAUAAGGCACCCUUCUUUAUGGAGGAUGUGGGUCCUUUACCUAUUCGGUCUCUGUUGGCUUGGACAGCAAAGCUGUGCGGUUGACAAGGCUGGAUAUCGUGAGGGAGUGCUCAUUCGUGUCCUUAGCGAUUCUGACGAAAUGGUUUUCAUUGACCCGUCUUGAAACACGGACCAAGGAGUCUAACAUAUAUGCGAGUAUUUGGGUGUUUCAAACCCUAAAUGCGUAAUGAAAGUGAAGGAGGACUUGUGCCUCUGAGGUAGGAACUUUGGCUUCGGCUGAAGGGCACUAUCGACCGAUCGAUCACUUGUGAUAGAUUUGAGUCAGAGCAUAUCUGUUGGGACCCGAAAGAUGGUGAUCUAUGCCUGAUCAGGGUGAAGCCAGGGGAAACUCUGGUGGAAGCUCGUAGCGAUACUGACGUGCAAAUCGUUCGUCUGAUUUGGGUAUAGGGGCGAAAGACUAAUCGAACCAUCUAGUAGCUGGUUCCCUC
This 2685-nucleotide unclassified non-coding RNA is filed under the name uncultured fungus. RNAcentral's name for it is "sequence contains 18S rRNA gene, ITS1, 5.8S rRNA gene, ITS2, 28S rRNA gene". The stretch from base 1516 to 2685 matches the Rfam family "Eukaryotic large subunit ribosomal RNA", at positions 1 to 961 of the family's 3401-position model. The record is from RNAcentral. Lineage: Eukaryota; Fungi.